This 36-nucleotide non-coding RNA is filed under the name unclassified sequences. RNAcentral describes it as "DUF805b RNA". It matches the Rfam family "DUF805b RNA". From Rfam's summary of the family: Bacteroidetes, Chlorobi (1 example), Proteobacteria. Lineage (Flavobacteria) The record is from RNAcentral.
ACGGAGCAAGCCGAAAAUCCUGCAAAAGAGUAGGCG